This 1500-nucleotide ribosomal RNA is filed under the name Clostridium botulinum. RNAcentral describes it as "bacterial SSU rRNA". It matches the Rfam family "Bacterial small subunit ribosomal RNA". Lineage: Bacteria; Bacillati; Bacillota; Clostridia; Eubacteriales; Clostridiaceae. The record is from RNAcentral.
AGAGUUUGAUCCUGGCUCAGGACGAACGCUGGCGGCGUGCUUAACACAUGCAAGUCGAGCGAUGAAGCUUCCUUCGGGAAGUGAAUUAGCGGCGGACGGGUGAGUAACACGUGGGUAACCUGCCUCAAAGUGGGGGAUAGCCUUCCGAAAGGAAGAUUAAUACCGCAUAAUAUAAGAGAAUCGCAUGAUUUUCUUAUCAAAGAUUUAUUGCUUUGAGAUGGACCCGCGGCGCAUUAGCUAGUUGGUAAGGUAACGGCUUACCAAGGCAACGAUGCGUAGCCGACCUGAGAGGGUGAUCGGCCACAUUGGAACUGAGACACGGUCCAGACUCCUACGGGAGGCAGCAGUGGGGAAUAUUGCGCAAUGGGGGAAACCCUGACGCAGCAACGCCGCGUGGGUGAUGAAGGUCUUCGGAUUGUAAAGCCCUGUUUUCUAGGACGAUAAUGACGGUACUAGAGGAGGAAGCCACGGCUAACUACGUGCCAGCAGCCGCGGUAAUACGUAGGUGGCGAGCGUUGUCCGGAUUUACUGGGCGUAAAGGGUGCGUAGGCGGAUGUUUAAGUGGGAUGUGAAAUCCCCGGGCUUAACCUGGGGGCUGCAUUCCAAACUGGAUAUCUAGAGUGCAGGAGAGGAAAGCGGAAUUCCUAGUGUAGCGGUGAAAUGCGUAGAGAUUAGGAAGAACACCAGUGGCGAAGGCGGCUUUCUGGACUGUAACUGACGCUGAGGCACGAAAGCGUGGGUAGCAAACAGGAUUAGAUACCCUGGUAGUCCACGCCGUAAACGAUGGAUACUAGGUGUAGGGGGUAUCAACUCCCCCUGUGCCGCAGUUAACACAAUAAGUAUCCCGCCUGGGGAGUACGGUCGCAAGAUUAAAACUCAAAGGAAUUGACGGGGGCCCGCACAAGCAGCGGAGCAUGUGGUUUAAUUCGAAGCAACGCGAAGAACCUUACCUGGACUUGACAUCCCUUGCAUAGCCUAGAGAUAGGUGAAGCCCUUCGGGGCAAGGAGACAGGUGGUGCAUGGUUGUCGUCAGCUCGUGUCGUGAGAUGUUAGGUUAAGUCCUGCAACGAGCGCAACCCUUGUUAUUAGUUGCUACCAUUAAGUUGAGCACUCUAAUGAGACUGCCUGGGUAACCAGGAGGAAGGUGGGGAUGACGUCAAAUCAUCAUGCCCCUUAUGUCCAGGGCUACACACGUGCUACAAUGGUAGGUACAAUAAGACGCAAGACCGUGAGGUGGAGCAAAACUUAUAAAACCUAUCUCAGUUCGGAUUGUAGGCUGCAACUCGCCUACAUGAAGCUGGAGUUGCUAGUAAUCGCGAAUCAGAAUGUCGCGGUGAAUACGUUCCCGGGCCUUGUACACACCGCCCGUCACACCAUGAGAGCUGGUAACACCCGAAGUCCGUGAGGUAACCGUAAGGAGCCAGCGGCCGAAGGUGGGAUUAGUGAUUGGGGUGAAGUCGUAACAAGGUAGCCGUAGGAGAACCUGCGGCUGGAUCACCU